CAAGUGGUAUCGACACCGAAAGGUGAAGGCAAUCUCUAAACCCAUCCGUAGUUCGGAUUGUGGGCUGCAACUCGCCCACAUGAAGCUGGAAUCUGUAGUAAUCGUGUCUCAAAAUGGCACGGUGAAUAUGUCCCUGCUCCUU
RNAcentral lists this ribosomal RNA (142 nucleotides) under uncultured Methanomicrobiales archaeon. RNAcentral's name for it is "partial 16S ribosomal RNA". It matches the Rfam family "Archaeal small subunit ribosomal RNA", at positions 1196 to 1338 of the family's 1478-position model. The record is from RNAcentral. Lineage: Archaea; Methanobacteriati; Methanobacteriota; Methanomicrobia; Methanomicrobiales.